RNAcentral lists this ribosomal RNA (297 nucleotides) under uncultured Pseudomonadota bacterium. Its description in RNAcentral is "uncultured proteobacterium partial 16S ribosomal RNA". It matches the Rfam family "Bacterial small subunit ribosomal RNA", at positions 29 to 351 of the family's 1533-position model. The record is from RNAcentral. Lineage: Bacteria; Pseudomonadati; Pseudomonadota.
AGCGAACGCUGGCGGCAGGCUUAACACAUGCAAGUCGAGCGGACGUAGCAAUACGUCAGCGGCAGACGGGUGAGUAACGCGUGGGAACGUACCUUUUGGUUCGGAAUAGCUCAGGGAAACUUGGAUUAAUACCGAAUAAGCCCUUACGGGGAAAGAUUUAUCGCCGAAAGAUCGGCCCGCGUCUGAUUAGCUAGUUGGUGAGGUAACGGCUCACCAAGGCGACGAUCAGUAGCUGGUCUGAGAGGAUGAUCAGCCACAUUGGGACUGAGACACGGCCCAAACUCCUACGGGUGGCAG